ACCGAUCUGAAAAUCUGAAUGCC
Molecule: non-coding RNA, 23 nt
Filed under: Arabidopsis thaliana (thale cress)
Lineage: Eukaryota; Viridiplantae; Streptophyta; Magnoliopsida; Brassicales; Brassicaceae
Source: RNAcentral